CCUCAAGAUGGAGAUGCCCUAAUACUGAGAAGUCCCAUCUUGGAGAGAAGAGAGUGAAACAUUACGGUCCCUAAUGGUUUGGUGAAGAGAUCUGCUAAUUGAAGGCAUGAAGGGACAUGCAAAGUGGAAAUAAAUCCUUUUGUGAGUUGAUCACGUACAACGUGACAAUCGAUUUCUAAAUGCUUCGUUCGUUCAUGAAAAACAGGAUUGACAGCAAUAUGUUGAGCUGCGUGAUUGUCACAGUGUAAAGGAAUGGGCAAAGAAAGAGGAAUAUCAAAUUCUUGGAAGAGAUAAAUAAUCCAUUUGAGUUCGCAAACUGUUGUGGCCAUACUUCUAUAUUCAGCUUUUUCCGAAGAACGACUAACAGUAUUUUGUUUUUUUGUCUUCCAGGAAAUCAACGAUGAACCCAGAAAGAUGCAGAAACCAGUCAAAGAUUUUCGAGUCAUUGGGCAGGCAGCCCAGUCAGCAUCGCAAAAAGCUCAAAGCUUAAAGUCAGGCUGGGCAGGAAAGAACAAACCACAAGCAGGACACCCUUUCAAAUAACGAAGAACAUGGAGCGCAGCAUCCCAGUGAGGUUUGCGAGGUGUCUGCAUAAACUGACUAAGCUACUGGGUAGAAUAAGUGAUAUCCGGCCUUGUUACUCCAAGGUAAAGUAAUCGUCCAACCAAUCUAUGAUAUCUGUCACGAUCUGGUAGCACCUCUCCUGUUUCAUUAUUCAAUUUGAGACCCUGUGGUAAAGGAAAUUCAGUAGACUUAGCUUCAAGCAAUCCUGCAUCUUUUAAUAUGUCUACCACAUAUUUCCUCUGACUAAGGAAUAAACUAGAUGAGGAAUGAGCCACUUCUAGUUCCAAGAAAUAACGAACAUGACCAAGAUCUUUGAUUGUAAAUAGUCUAUGUAAGUACUGUUUGACUUGAAUUAUAUCUUCUUCAACUUGUCCAGUGAUGAGAACAUCAUCAAUGUAUACUAAUAAAGCCA
Molecule: unclassified non-coding RNA, 976 nt
Filed under: Hevea brasiliensis (rubber tree)
Lineage: Eukaryota; Viridiplantae; Streptophyta; Magnoliopsida; Malpighiales; Euphorbiaceae
Source: RNAcentral